AAAUUGAAGAGUUUGAUCAUGGCUCAGAUUGAACGCUGGCGGCAGGCCUAACACAUGCAAGUCGAGCGGAAACGAGUUAUCUGAACCUUCGGGGAACGAUAACGGCGUCGAGCGGCGGACGGGUGAGUAAUGCCUAGGAAAUUGCCCUGAUGUGGGGGAUAACCAUUGGAAACGAUGGCUAAUACCGCAUGAUGCCUACGGGCCAAAGAGGGGGACCUUCGGGCCUCUCGCGUCAGGAUAUGCCUAGGUGGGAUUAGCUAGUUGGUGAGGUAAGGGCUCACCAAGGCGACGAUCCCUAGCUGGUCUGAGAGGAUGAUCAGCCACACUGGAACUGAGACACGGUCCAGACUCCUACGGGAGGCAGCAGUGGGGAAUAUUGCACAAUGGGCGCAAGCCUGAUGCAGCCAUGCCGCGUGUGUGAAGAAGGCCUUCGGGUUGUAAAGCACUUUCAGUCGUGAGGAAGGUAGUGUAGUUAAUAGCUGCAUUAUUUGACGUUAGCGACAGAAGAAGCACCGGCUAACUCCGUGCCAGCAGCCGCGGUAAUACGGAGGGUGCGAGCGUUAAUCGGAAUUACUGGGCGUAAAGCGCAUGCAGGUGGUUUGUUAAGUCAGAUGUGAAAGCCCGGGGCUCAACCUCGGAAUUGCAUUUGAAACUGGCAGACUAGAGUACUGUAGAGGGGGGUAGAAUUUCAGGUGUAGCGGUGAAAUGCGUAGAGAUCUGAAGGAAUACCGGUGGCGAAGGCGGCCCCCUGGACAGAUACUGACACUCAGAUGCGAAAGCGUGGGGAGCAAACAGGAUUAGAUACCCUGGUAGUCCACGCCGUAAACGAUGUCUACUUGGAGGUUGUGGCCUUGAGCCGUGGCUUUCGGAGCUAACGCGUUAAGUAGACCGCCUGGGGAGUACGGUCGCAAGAUUAAAACUCAAAUGAAUUGACGGGGGCCCGCACAAGCGGUGGAGCAUGUGGUUUAAUUCGAUGCAACGCGAAGAGCCUUACCUACUCUUGACAUCCAGAGAACUUUCCAGAGAUGGAUUGGUGCCUUCGGGAACUCUGAGACAGGUGCUGCAUGGCUGUCGUCAGCUCGUGUUGUGAAAUGUUGGGUUAAGUCCCGCAACGAGCGCAACCCUUAUCCUUGUUUGCCAGCGAGUAAUGUCGGGAACUCCAGGGAGACUGCCGGUGAUAAACCGGAGGAAGGUGGGGACGACGUCAAGUCAUCAUGGCCCUUACGAGUAGGGCUACACACGUGCUACAAUGGCGCAUACAGAGGGCGGCCAACUUGCGAAAGUGAGCGAAUCCCAAAAAGUGCGUCGUAGUCCGGAUUGGAGUCUGCAACUCGACUCCAUGAAGUCGGAAUCGCUAGUAAUCGUGGAUCAGAAUGCCACGGUGAAUACGUUCCCGGGCCUUGUACACACCGCCCGUCACACCAUGGGAGUGGGCUGCAAAAGAAGUAGGUAGUUUAACCUUCGGGGGGACGCUUACCACUUUGUGGUUCAUGACUGGGUGAAGUCGUAACAAGGUAGCGCUAGGGGAACCUGGCGCUGGAUCACCUCCUUAAACGAUGAU
RNAcentral lists this ribosomal RNA (1561 nucleotides) under Vibrio parahaemolyticus. RNAcentral describes it as "bacterial SSU rRNA". It matches the Rfam family "Bacterial small subunit ribosomal RNA". Lineage: Bacteria; Pseudomonadati; Pseudomonadota; Gammaproteobacteria; Vibrionales; Vibrionaceae. The record is from RNAcentral.